This is a long non-coding RNA of Mya arenaria, 200 nucleotides long. RefSeq lists it as uncharacterized. The record is from RefSeq and is a predicted model, not a curated record. Lineage: Eukaryota; Metazoa; Mollusca; Bivalvia; Myida; Myidae. The transcript has 3 exons.
CAGAUGCUGUUAAAGAUGGUCAUACAGCUGCAGAUACUACAGAGGUCACAGAAACAUCUGAAGAUGCCCUCGGUGAAUCAGCAGAAGUCUUGGAACAUGCUUAUCAUGAUGCUGUAGAAAUCAGAGGGAUAGUUUACCAUCCACAGUUGUCUCUGAACAUGCUGAAGGGCCGCCUCAAGCAAUGUUCAAGAUUUGACCCA